Long non-coding RNA from Lytechinus variegatus (green sea urchin), 349 nucleotides. RefSeq lists it as uncharacterized. The record is from RefSeq and is a predicted model, not a curated record. NCBI's taxonomy places the organism in Eukaryota, Metazoa, Echinodermata, Echinoidea, Temnopleuroida, Toxopneustidae. The transcript is spliced from 3 exons.
CUAUCAGCAUGGCGAAACGAAGUCAGGAAGAAGAAAAUUUUGGCCUCCAAGCUAAAGAAAUCGUCCAAUUGCAAGGUUAGACAUGAUCGUGAACGAUGGAUGACUGAUCACAUCAUAUCAUCAGUCUAUCGAUUACAAGACAUGGCGGCCCGGCAGACACCUCUGUUGACAGCUCCAAACAUGUGGCUUGGGUAUUAAUAGUCUCUGGCAACAUUCCGCGAGUGUGCGACGACGGAACACACCACAAAGUAACUAGAGACCUGUUCUUCUUGGAUACCAAGAAGUGAGCAAACAACUGCCAACUUUGAAUGUGAAAGAAAGAGAGUAGAAUCGGUAUUCAUUCAAAAGG